RNAcentral lists this ribosomal RNA (490 nucleotides) under uncultured bacterium. RNAcentral's name for it is "partial 16S ribosomal RNA". It matches the Rfam family "Bacterial small subunit ribosomal RNA", at positions 30 to 507 of the family's 1533-position model. The record is from RNAcentral.
AUUGAACGCUGGCGGCAGGCCUAACACAUGCAAGUCGAAUGGUAACAGGAAACAGCUUGCUGUUUCGCUGACGAGUGGCGGACGGGUGAGUAAUGUCUGGGAAACUGCCUGAUGGAGGGGGAUAACUACUGGAAACGGUAGCUAAUACCGCAUAACGUCGCAAGACCAAAGAGGGGGACCUUCGGGCCUCUUGCCAUCAGAUGUGCCCAGAUGGGAUUAGCUAGUAGGUGGGGUAACGGCUCACCUAGGCGACGAUCCCUAGCUGGUCUGAGAGGAUGACCAGCCACACUGGAACUGAGACACGGUCUAGACUCCUACGGGAGGCAGCAGUGGGGAAUAUUGCACAAUGGGCGCAAGCCUGAUGCAGCCAUGCCGCGUGUAUGAAGAAGGCCUUCGGGUUGUAAAGUACUUUCAGCGGGGAGGAAGGGAGUAAAGUUAAUACCUUUGCUCAUUGACGUUACCCGCAGAAGAAGCACCGGCUAACUCCGUG